GGCAGCAGUCGAGAAUCAUUCACAAUGCGCGAAAGCGUGAUGAUGCGACGCCGCGUGGAGGAUGAAGGCCUUCGGGUUGUAAACUCCUGUCAUGAGGGAAUAAUCUUCGGGGUGUAAAUAGCGCCUCGGACUGAUGGUACCUCAAGAGGAAGCCACGGCUAACUCUGUGCCAGCAGCCGCGGUAAUACAGAGGUGGCAAGCGUUGUUCGGAUUUACUGGGCGUAAAGGGUGCGUAGGCGGCACCGUAUGUCGGAUGUGAAAGCUCACGGCUCACCCGUGGAAAUGCAUCCGAAACUGCGGAGCUUGAGUACAGGAGAGGAGAGCGGAAUUCUCGGUGUAGCGGUGAAAUGCGUAGAUAUCGAGAGGAACGCCGGUGGCGAAAGCGGCUCUCUGGACUGAUACUGACGCUGAGGCACGAAAGCUGGGGGAGCGAAGAGGAUUAGAUACCCUCGUAGUCCCAGCCGUAAACGUUGUGCACUUGGUGUGGGAGGUUUUGUCCCCUUCCGUGCCGGAGCUAACGCGUUAAGUGCACCGCCUGGGGAGUACGGCCGCAAGGCUAAAACUCAAAGGAAUUGACGG
RNAcentral lists this ribosomal RNA (579 nucleotides) under uncultured bacterium. RNAcentral describes it as "bacterial SSU rRNA". It matches the Rfam family "Bacterial small subunit ribosomal RNA", at positions 347 to 916 of the family's 1533-position model. The record is from RNAcentral.